RNAcentral lists this ribosomal RNA (255 nucleotides) under uncultured bacterium. RNAcentral describes it as "partial 16S ribosomal RNA". It matches the Rfam family "Bacterial small subunit ribosomal RNA", at positions 524 to 776 of the family's 1533-position model. The record is from RNAcentral.
UACGGGGGGAGCAAGCGUUGUUCGGAUUUACUGGGCGUAAAGGGCGCGUAGGCGGCCACCGCAAGUCAGUUGUGAAAGCUCUGGGCUUAACCCAGAAAGGUCAGCUGAUACUGCGGGGCUAGAGUGCAGAAGGGGCAACUGGAAUUCUCGGUGUAGCGGUGAAAUGCGUAGAUAUCGAGAGGAACACCUGCGGCGAAGGCGGGUUGCUGGGCUGACACUGACGCUGACAGCGCGAAAGCGUGGGGAGCAAACAGG